This 251-nucleotide ribosomal RNA is filed under the name uncultured prokaryote. RNAcentral describes it as "partial 16S ribosomal RNA". The stretch from base 43 to 251 matches the Rfam family "Bacterial small subunit ribosomal RNA", at positions 567 to 775 of the family's 1533-position model. The record is from RNAcentral.
CCGUAGGUCCCUUCCUUUCUUCUUCCUCCCUGGUCUUCCCUUUCGCUUCUUCUUUUUUCUCCUUUACGGUUUAAAUCCGGCGGCUCACCCGUCGAACUGGCCGUGAUACUGUCGAACUGGAGGUGCGGAGGGAUGCGUGGAACUUGUGGUGGAGCGGUGAAAUGCCCAGAUAUCACAGGGAACACCGGUGGCGAAGGCGACGCAUUGGCCGCAAUCUGACGCUGGGGCGCGAAAGCAUGGGGAGCGAACGG